This 253-nucleotide ribosomal RNA is filed under the name uncultured bacterium. RNAcentral's name for it is "partial 16S ribosomal RNA". It matches the Rfam family "Bacterial small subunit ribosomal RNA", at positions 524 to 776 of the family's 1533-position model. The record is from RNAcentral.
UACGUAGGUGGCAAGCGUUGUCCGGAUUUACUGGGCGUAAAGGGCGUGUAGGCGGCUUGUUAAGUGCGGGGUGAAAGCUCCCGGCUCAACUGGGAGAGGUUCUUGCAUACUGGCGAGCUCGAGGGAUGCAGAGGAAAGUGGAAUUCCCGGUGUAGUGGUGAAAUGCGUAGAUAUCGGGAGGAACACCAGUGGCGAAGGCGACUACCUGGCCUGUUCUUGACGCUGAGGCGCGAAAGCUAGGGGAGCAAACGGG